Molecule: long non-coding RNA, 364 nt
Organism: Passer domesticus (house sparrow)
Lineage: Eukaryota; Metazoa; Chordata; Aves; Passeriformes; Passeridae
Exons: 2
Source: RefSeq, a predicted model, not a curated record
CCGGGCUGGAGCGGAGGCAGAGGAAGGCGCAGCCGCUGCCCCCAGGCCGCGGCGGCGGCGGGGCCCAGGUGCGGCGCAGAGCGUGAGCGAGGCCGAGGAGCUCGGGAGCCGCGAGCGAGGCGUGAGCGGCUGCAGGGCUGCUGUGUCCGCGAGGUGGAAUUGACGGACCAGGCCAGGAGCAUUUUGAUGGAAUCGUUGGUGGCUGAGUUUCACCUGUUGAAAGGCGUCUGGGAGUGGGCCAUCUCAACUGGGGCGGCUAGGGCAUCGGCACACCGGUUGCCCUCCGCGAUGAACCCCGGUAGGUCAGUGUGUGACCUCACAUGCAUAACAUAGAAGGGUUGUUCUCGGUGGGAGACUAGAUCUG